GACGAAGGGGGCUAGCGUUGUUCGGAAUUACUGGGCGUAAAGCGCGUGUAGGCGGUCGUUCAAGUCGGGUGUGAAAGCCUUGAGCUCAACUCAAGAAAUGCACUCGGUACUGGAUGACUAGAGGACCGGAGAGGAUAGUGGAAUUCCCAGUGUAGCGGUGAAAUACGUAGAGAUUGGGAAGAACACCAGUGGCGAAGGCGGCUAUCUGGACGGUUUCUGACGCUAAGACGCGAAAGCGUGGGGAGCAAACAGG
Molecule: ribosomal RNA, 253 nt
Filed under: uncultured bacterium
Lineage: Bacteria
Description: partial 16S ribosomal RNA
Rfam family: Bacterial small subunit ribosomal RNA
Source: RNAcentral